This 96-nucleotide ribosomal RNA is filed under the name Acanthosepion pharaonis. Lineage: Eukaryota; Metazoa; Mollusca; Cephalopoda; Sepiida; Sepiidae. The record is from RNAcentral.
AUCAUUGAAACACCGGUUCCCGUAUGAUCACCAAAGUUAAGCAAUGUCAAGCCUGGUCAUUACCGAGAUGGGUGACCGCUUGGGAAUACCAGGUGC